CUACGGCGAUCGCACUUUUUUUUAACCAUUUUUUAACCGCUUCUCCGCGUGAACCCCGCUCGCCGUUAACGAUCGCCACGCCUCCUCCGCCCUCACGGCAGUCGCGUUCGUUUAUCAGAGACAAGAAAAUAACAAUUUUUUCGUGGUUUCCGUUUCUGUUAACUGUUUUUCUGUUUUCAUAUUUUUUCCACUUUUUUGUUCUGUUCUUCGCCAAUAUUUUUGAUAUUUCUGUCAACCGAAAGUUUUUCGAGUGUUUUCCAAAAAAAACCUUAAUUUAAGGCUUAACAGCAACCUCUAGAAGUUAACAGACCAGCUAACAGUCAACUAGCCAUGACACAAACCAGAAAUAGGAAACCCCCGAAGACUCUGCCGCUGCUGCUCCUGCUGAUCCUGCCCCUGGCCAGCAGGACAGUGGGCGUGGCGCUAUCCAACACCAACAGUGCCCAGGCCGCUCAGCGCUUCUUCUACGCCUCCGGGCCAGCAUCAGGAUCGGGAUCUGCCGCCGCCGAGUCCACACAGACGAAGGUGCGUCUUCUGCGGCAGGUGGACGGAGCUGCUGCGCCGGCGGAAGAGGGCAGCUGUUGCCAGGGGGCCAGCUCUACCCCCUCGGACUCUUCGCUGCUGCCGCUGGAGGGAGUCUCCAGCUCGGAGCUGGGCAACGUCACUGCUGUGGACUACGAUGUCUCCGGGGAAGCCUCCUCCAAGGAAAAUGUGAAGCGUCAUGUCCCCAGAGCUGCCAUCAGGUUCGCCAGUGCCGCGAGCUGCUCCCCCCAGCCGACGAUCGUGGAACUGAAGCCGCCGGGAGCCGAGAGCAGCAACUUCUUCUACACCCCGGCCUGCACCAGGGUGAACCGGUGCAGCGGCUGCUGCGGAUCGACGCUGAUAACCUGCCAGCCGACGGAAACCGAGAUCGUCCAGAUGCGCGUGUGGAGGGGGGACCGUAGUGGAGCCGAGCCCCGCCGCAAGGUGACCAUCGUGGAUGUGGAACAGCAUCUGGCGUGCCGCUGUGGCUGCCGGAUCAAGGAGGGCGACUGCAACGCCUACCAGUCGUAUCGGCAGGAGCUGUGCCGGUGCGAGUGCCACAACACGGACGCCAAGGACAAGUGCCUGGAGCAGCUGGACGUCAAGUACUGGGACGAUGCCAACUGCACCUGUGCGUGCCGCUACAACCUGAGCUGCACCACCGGCACCGUCUUCGAUGAGACGCAGUGCAAAUGCACCGACAUCAAAAAUGUCCAGUAUUACACAUAGAAACUACACUCCACACUUACCACUUACCACUUACUCUCGUUAAGAUCAAUUUUGUAAACGUUUUUAAGAACUCUUUUGAAACUUAAGCCAUUUGUGAUAUUGUUAAAGUAACAAUAACUAACUAGAACUAGUAACUAGAACUAGAGCCUAGGGAGUAGGAUGAAAUACGUAGCUUAUGUAGCUGAGUUGAGGCACAGAUUGUGAUCCGAUGGCACCCGUCGACGUGUUGGAUCGAAAACGCUUUAUUGUCCAGGCCAUAUCGGUGGAAACCGAUAACACCACCCUGUACAGUGUCUG
Molecule: unclassified non-coding RNA, 1548 nt
Filed under: Drosophila ananassae
Lineage: Eukaryota; Metazoa; Arthropoda; Insecta; Diptera; Drosophilidae
Description: GF19053
Source: RNAcentral